GACGAACGCUGGCGGCGUGCUUAACACAUGCAAGUCGAACGGGCCCGCUCUCUUUUUUGGGGGUGGGUUGAGUGGCGAACGGGUGAGUAUCACGUGAGUAACCUGCCCCCUGCUCCUGGAUAACUGCUUGAAAGGGCGGCUAAUACGGGGUGUGCCGGCUGGUCCGCAUGGGCCUGGUCGGGAUAGUUUCAUCUUCGGGUGUUUCGGUGGGGGAUGGGCUCGCGGCCUAUCAGCUUGUUGGUGGGGUGAUGGCCCACCAAGGCGGUGACGGGUAGCCGGCCUGAGGGGGUGGGCGGCCACACUGGGACUGGGACACGGCCCAGACUCCUGCGGGAGGCAGCAGUGGGGGGUAUUGCACGAUGGGCGGAAGCCUGAUGCAGCGACGUCGCGUGAGGGAUGGAGGCCUUCGGGUGGUGAACCUCUUUCUCCGGUGGUGAAGGCCCUGUCCGUUGCGGCGGGGUUGACGGUAGCCGGGGAUGAAGCGCCGGCUAACUACGUG
This 499-nucleotide ribosomal RNA is filed under the name uncultured bacterium. RNAcentral's name for it is "partial 16S ribosomal RNA". It matches the Rfam family "Bacterial small subunit ribosomal RNA", at positions 28 to 507 of the family's 1533-position model. The record is from RNAcentral.